GAAACACCUUUAUUCUUCUCUACAAAGACUAAGUCUGUGAGGUCCAGUGAAUCUUGGAGCUGUGUGUGUGGGUGUUUCCCUGAAGGAGUUUCCAGUGAAAUAGAUACAGCUGAGCUGACUGCAGCACUUCUUUCUAGAGCAGAGCUGUCAAGAGGAUGAAUGAAUACUAUGGUAAGGAUGCAGUUUAUAUUUAGUUUAAGGAAGAAAACAGCCCUCUGCUUGUGAUCAAUCUAGAAUUAAAAGUGUCAGUCACAGAGUCAUUGUGGGGAACAGGCUUCUAAAGCAAAUU
This 289-nucleotide long non-coding RNA is filed under the name Cyanistes caeruleus (blue tit). Its description in RNAcentral is "lncRNA (ENSCCEG00000020823.1)". The record is from RNAcentral. Lineage: Eukaryota; Metazoa; Chordata; Aves; Passeriformes; Paridae.